Non-coding RNA from Podarcis lilfordi (Lilford's wall lizard), 66 nucleotides. The record is from the annotation of a GenBank genome assembly. NCBI's taxonomy places the organism in Eukaryota, Metazoa, Chordata, Lepidosauria, Squamata, Lacertidae.
GAGCUCAGUUGGCUGUGCAUGAGACUCUUAAUCUCAGGGUUGUGAGUUGGAGCCUCACGUUGGUCA